GACGAACGCUGGCGGCGUGCUUAACACAUGCAAGUCGAACGGAAAGGCCUUUUCGGAGGUACUCGAGUGGCGAACGGGUGAGUAACACGUGGGUGAUCUGCCCUGCACUCUGGGAUAAUCCUGGGCAACUGGGUCUAAUACCGGAUAGGACCGCACUUUGGUGUGUGUGGUGGAAAGUUUUUUCGGUGUAGGAUGAGCCCGCGGCCUAUCAGCUUGUUGGUGGGGUACUGGCCUACCAAGUCGGCGACGGGUAGCCGGACUGAGAGGUUGGUCGGCCACAUUGGGGCUGAGAAACGGCCCAGAAUCCUACGGGAGGAAGCAGUGGUGAAGAUUACACAACGGGGGCAAGAAUGAUGAAGCGACGCCGCGUGGGGGAUGAAGGAGUUCGGGUUGUAAAAUACUUUCGCCAGGGACGAAGCGUUAUGUGACGGUACCAGGAGAAGAAGCACCGGCUAACUACGUG
RNAcentral lists this ribosomal RNA (463 nucleotides) under uncultured bacterium. Its description in RNAcentral is "partial 16S ribosomal RNA". It matches the Rfam family "Bacterial small subunit ribosomal RNA", at positions 28 to 507 of the family's 1533-position model. The record is from RNAcentral.